AGUGAACGCUGGCGGUAGGCCUAACACAUGCAAGUCGAACGGCAGCACAGUAAGAGCUUGCUCUUACGGGUGGCGAGUGGCGGACGGGUGAGGAAUACAUCGGAAUCUACUUUUUCGUGGGGGAGAACGUAGGGAAAAUUACGCUAAUACCGCAUACGACCUACGGGUGAAAGCAGGGGAUCUUCGGACCUUGCGCGAUUGAAUGAGCCGAUGUCGGAUUAGCUAGUUGGCGGGGUAAAGGCCCACCAAGGCGACGAUCCGUAGCUGGUCUGAGGGGAUGAUCAGCCACACUGGAACUGAGACACGGUCCAGACUCCUACGGGAGGCAGCAGUGGGGAAUAUUGGACAAUGGGCGCAAGCCUGAUCCAGCCAUACCGCGUGGGUGAAGAAGGCCUUCGGGUUGUAAAGCCCUUUUGUUGGGAAAGAAAAGCAGCAGGUUAAUACCCCGCUGUUCUGACGGUACCCAAAGAAUAAGCACCGGCUAACUUCGUG
Molecule: ribosomal RNA, 492 nt
Filed under: uncultured bacterium
Lineage: Bacteria
Description: partial 16S ribosomal RNA
Rfam family: Bacterial small subunit ribosomal RNA
Source: RNAcentral